CCCGGUCGCACCGGGCCGGGCCGGGCCGCCGCCCUCCCCUCCGCCCAAAGACAGGCAUGCCCGGCCUUGGAGGAAAAGAGAGCCGGACCAAGAAGACAUUUUUGAAGUCCAAGGAAGGAGGGGCAAAACAAACAAACAAAAGCAUAAUAAAUACCCGGGCUGUUUUAUAUACAUAUAUAUAACGAAACCGGAAGAGAAAAAGGGGGCGACCCUGAGAUCUCGUCUAUACUGCGGUGGUGUUUCGUUUCCUUUCUCUUUUUCUUUUUAAAGAAGGGUGAAGAUGCCUAGCGCACCAAAACUGCACUCGUGAGGUUGCUCCCACCCUGAGAAGUCCUACCCGGCAGCGGUGGACAGCACCUAGCACCUGCCUCGUCCUCUCCUCUUAAAAAAAAAAAGGAAAAAAAAUCGCAUCCCCUUUCCCACCACCCCCUCCCUCCAAAGGGCUGCCUGCAGUGAUCCAGCAAAACUUUGCCUCUUGGGAGCGAUCUGAGAGGAAGCAGAGGCACCGGGUUUAAUCAGGGGAUGCCUCUGUGCUCCGGGACCCUGUUUUUCUUGGCCAUAUUAAAGUCAUUGGGGACAAAUGAAUUGACUAUGAAAUGGGAAGGAGAAAAAAAGAACAGUCUCCAGCAAAAUAUAUAUAUUCACAGCUUCUGAAAUUAGCAGACUGUAUAGCAAAGCCAAAAGAAAAGAAUAAGUAUUCUCAAAGUAACCUUGGAAAUAAAAGCAUCACAAAAGAGCAGAGGGAUGGGCGAGGGAGAAGGGGACGUCCUCCGAGGAGUGGGAGAGGCCCGGGCCGAGCUGGCGCGCGCGGGCGGACUGGGCGCGGAGAGAGGCCCGGCCGCCAACCCCGGCUUUAACGGCUGCCACUCGGGCUCGGGCGGACGACGCCUAAAGAUUCCACCGCUAAUAUUUUUUUUAUUAAUAUUUUUUAUUUUUUAUUUCUGGACUGACUCAGAUAAAGGGAUUUAGAAAGACUGAGCACCAGCCGCUGCGCUUCUCUGGACUCCUCUCCUUAAUCCGUUGCCAACUUUGAUUGAAUGGGUGCUGUGGAUGUGAUUAUAUAAUACUGCCAUUUCCAAGCAGUGUUUUUGGAUGCUUCAAGCUCCUGCCUACGCACCCAGCUGCACCCAGAGACAUCUUCCUCCCUCCCACCUCGCCAGCCAGCACCACCGUUCAGCCACAGGGUCAGACUUAAUGGAGCUGAGCACACUUCCUAUCAAGCUUCCUGUGGAAAGCCAGUCAGCUGAGACUGAGAAAGGCCGCCACACGCUCGAAGUCCCUGGAAAUCAAACGGGGAGCCGGGCACGGGGGCAGUGGCCCUUUCAGGCUAUUGCUUUGAUACUUUUGAUACGGGCUUGGGUUUCUCUAGAAGACUCUGGCGCUGCCUCCUCCAUGUAGCUCUGAGAGAACAUCCAUGCCCCUUGUCUGGGCCACGGGGCCUAGGCAACUCCGAUGAGUUGUGAAUUUCUGAAAAGUACCAACGCCUAGACUCAGGAAAUUAAGAAAUUCUGCCAUGUGUCUUCAUUAGUAUUUUUCAGUGCAGGGUUUGAUAUCAUCAACUUAGCCCCUAAAUUAAAGCAAUGAAUAUAACAGUCACAAUGCAAUAAAGUCAAUGUUAUGAUAGUUUUAUUUGAAAUGUACUGUUCUCUACAAGUGGGAACUAAUCGAUAUAAAUAUAUUACACAUACAUUAUUUGAGAGAAAGCCCACCGCCUUCUUAGGAAAAGUGAACAGCCGAGAGUGGGCAAUUUCAGACUGAUUUAUGAACUGAGAAAAUCCUUCUGUUUUUUUUUUUUAAUUUUUUUUUUUUGCCUAAAAUGGUCAGGAGGUGAUGAAGACUGACUUCCCAGCCCUUCACUGCCAAAUCUUAACUUUCUGAAAACUUACAGAAAUGCUUGAUUAAAACUAGAAUAAAAAUCUCCAGUUGCCUUCAGCAAACCACAGCACAAGGGUGGGAAAAACAGUGCCAGGUUGCAGUUUAAGUAUAGUUACUUGGCGCCUGCUGAAAGCACUGCUCCCUUCCUGUUUAAUAAUUAAUUCAACUUUAAAGCCCCAAGGAUCUGGACUCGGCACCAGCUUCACAAAGCAGUACAGAAACAAAAUGCUUCCAGAACCGGAGGGGGGACGGAGGAAGAAAGAAUCUAACAUUUCAAGAAACAUCACCACAUGGGGCCGGUAUGAGGAAGAACUUUUCCAGAAUGACCACAAGCAGACCCACCUGCAACCACACAAUCCAGUAUCAAACUGCACGGAGUGUGUUGUUGUAUUCCAGGAAACCUAAGCACCCCAAAGCCUGGCAAAGAGAUGGUGCGGACCAGCAACAAAUGGAUUAAUUACACGAAAUGAAGGCCCAGGGCGGCCGGAGUAAAGAGGAAAGCUAUUUAAACAUCAAAUGUAUUUACUUUUCGCUUAUUAUUAUUAUAGAGGAGGCAUGGCGUGGAACACUCACAUACAUCCUCUGAGACCAUCGUAGGGUAUUUCGAAAAAGACAUUCAAGUAAUUAAAUGGUUGAGUUGAACAAAUAAUGACCUGAAUACUUUUCCCAAUCCCUAAAAAGAGAUGUUUUUAACACUCUAUGAUUGUCAAAACUAUAUGGAUUUUCUUUAUAUGUCACUUAAUACAUAAAUUAGUUAUAAACGUUUAAAUCACACCUCCUUCAUAUCUUUUUCUCCCAUGUCAGACUGAUGGCAUUGCCUUGAAAAUGCAGCAGCCGUCUUUCAAAAAUAAGCUUUGUAUUCUUCUCGACUGAGUCCACAAAACUGCCAAAUGCAAGUCUGAAACUAGUUUCCAGUUAUUAAACAGUUUCAAAACCAGAAGGUCAAUAUGUUUUCUCUAUUUUUGAGUCAGUGAACAUCUAGCUGUUAUUUUUUAUUUUUCUUUAUUUUUUUGCUGAG
This 2893-nucleotide long non-coding RNA is filed under the name Equus asinus (donkey). Its description in RNAcentral is "lncRNA (ENSEASG00005034749.1)". Lineage: Eukaryota; Metazoa; Chordata; Mammalia; Perissodactyla; Equidae. The record is from RNAcentral.